This 57-nucleotide microRNA precursor is filed under the name Sarcophilus harrisii (Tasmanian devil). Its description in RNAcentral is "Sha-Mir-26-P2_pre stem-loop". Lineage: Eukaryota; Metazoa; Chordata; Mammalia; Dasyuromorphia; Dasyuridae. The record is from RNAcentral.
UUCAAGUAAUCCAGGAUAGGCUGUUUUCUCUUUAGCCUGUUCUCCAUUACUUGGUUC